Molecule: ribosomal RNA, 253 nt
Filed under: uncultured bacterium
Lineage: Bacteria
Description: partial 16S ribosomal RNA
Rfam family: Bacterial small subunit ribosomal RNA
Source: RNAcentral
UACGUAGGGUGCGAGCGUUAAUCGGAAUUACUGGGCGUAAAGCGUGCGCAGGCGGUCUGUUAAGACAGAUGUGAAAUCCCCGGGCUUAACCUGGGAACUGCAUUUGUGACUGGCAGGCUAGAGUAUGGCAGAGGGGGGUAGAAUUCCACGUGUAGCAGUGAAAUGCGUAGAGAUGUGGAGGAAUACCGAUGGCGAAGGCAGCCCCCUGGGCCAAUACUGACGCUCAUGCACGAAAGCGUGGGGAGCAAACGGG